UACUAAUUUUUGAUUUAAUAUUUUUU
This 26-nucleotide non-coding RNA is filed under the name Rattus norvegicus (Norway rat). Lineage: Eukaryota; Metazoa; Chordata; Mammalia; Rodentia; Muridae. The record is from RNAcentral.